AUGAAAUAUAACGAGAAGGUUAGAAGACAGAUGGAUAUUAAAAAGGCCUAUAGAAAACAAGCCCUGCAGCUUCAUCCUGACCGGAACCCUGAUGAUCCACAAGCCCAGGAGAAAUUCCAGGAUCUAGGUGCUGCAUAUGAGGUUCUAUCAGGUAAUGAGAAACGGAAACAAUAUGAUGCUUAUGGUGAAGAAGGAUUAAAAGAUGGUCAUCAAAGUUCCCAUGGAGACAUUUUUUCACACUUCUUUGGAGAUUUUGGUUUCAUGUUUGGAGGGACCCCUUGUCAGCAAGACAGAAAUAUUCCAAGAGGAAGUGAUACUAUUGUAGAUCUAGAAGUCACUUUGGAAGAAGUGUAUGCAGGAAAUUUUGUGGAAGUAGUUAGAAACAAACCUGUGGCGAGGCAGGCUCCAGGCAAACGGAAAUGCAAUUGUCAGCAAGAAAUGCAGACCACCCAGCUGGGCCCUGGUUCCAAAGCAGUUCACCCUGCUUCCAAAUGACCCAGGAGGUGGUCUGCGAUGAAUGCUCUAAUGUCAAACUAGUGAAUGAAGGACAAACAUUAGAGGUAGAAAUCAAACCUGGGGUGAGAGACAGCAUGGAGUACCCAUUUAUUGGAGAAGGUGAGCCUCACAUGGAUGGGGAGCCUGGAGAUUUACGGUUCAGAAUCAAAGUUGUUAAGCACCCAAUAUUUGAAAGGAGAGGAGAUGAUUUGUACACAAAUGUGACAAUCUCACUAGUUGAGUCUCUUGUUGGCUUUGAGAUGGACAUUACACACUUGGAUGGUCACAAGGUACAUAUCUCCCGGGAUAAGAUCACUAGGCCAGGAGCAAAGCUAUGGAAGAAGGGGGAAGGGCUCCCUAGCUUUGACAACAACAAUAUCAAGGGCUCUUUGAUAAUCACUUUUGAUGUGGAUUUUCCAACACAAUAGUUAACAGAGGAAGCAAGAGAAGGUAUCAUACAGCUACUGAAACAAGGAUCAGUGCAGAAGGUAUGCAAUGGACUGCAAGGAUAUUAAGAGUGAAUAAAAUUGGACUUUGUUUAAAAUGAGUGAAUCAGCAAUAUUUAUUAUCUGCAGGGUUUUUUGUCUGUGUUUUUGUUUUUAUUCUCAAUAUGCAAGUUUGGUUUAAUUUUUUUUAUAAUGAUCGUCAUGAAAUGAAUAAAGAGGGCUUAAGAAUUUGCCCAUUGCAUUCAGAAAAGAAUGACCAGCAAAAGGUUUACUAAUAC
Microcebus murinus (gray mouse lemur) is the source of this 1219-nucleotide non-coding RNA. The record is from RefSeq and is a predicted model, not a curated record. NCBI's taxonomy places the organism in Eukaryota, Metazoa, Chordata, Mammalia, Primates, Cheirogaleidae.